Long non-coding RNA from Nomascus leucogenys (northern white-cheeked gibbon), 170 nucleotides. RefSeq lists it as uncharacterized. The transcript is spliced from 3 exons. NCBI's taxonomy places the organism in Eukaryota, Metazoa, Chordata, Mammalia, Primates, Hylobatidae. The record is from RefSeq and is a predicted model, not a curated record.
CCCUGGACUUUAACACGCGCACGCAGGUGACCAGGGAAGCCAUCAACCGGCUCCAUGAGGCCGUGCCUGGCGUCCGGGGAUCCUGGAAGAAAAAGGCCCCCAACAAGGCCCUGGCAUCCGUCCUGGGCAAGAGCAACCUUCGCUUUGCCGGCAUGAGCAUCUCCAUCCAC